ACGUACACUCCUACGGGAGGCAGCAGUGGGGAAUUUUACGCAAUGGGGGAAACCCUGACGUAGCGACACCGCGUGAGCGAAGAAGCCCUUUGGGGUGUAAAGCUCUGUCAGCUGGAACGAAAACAAUGACGGUACCAGCAGAGGAAGCAUCGGCUAACUACGUGCCAGCAGCCGCGGUAAGACGUAGGAUGCGAGCGUUGUCCGGAUUUAUUGGGCGUAAAGAGUUCGUAGGUGGUUUGUUAAGUUUGGUGUUAAAGAUCGGGGCUCAACCCUGGGACUGCACUGAAUACUGGCAGACUCGAGUGUGGUAGAGGCUAGUGGAAUCCCCAGUGUAGCGGUGAAAUGCGUAGAUAUUGGGAAGAACACCGGUGGCGUAGGCGACUAGCUGGGCCAUAACUGACGCUGAGGAACGAAAGCCAGGGGAGCGAAUGGGAUUAGAAACCCCGGUAGUCCCAUGA
This 458-nucleotide ribosomal RNA is filed under the name uncultured organism. RNAcentral describes it as "partial 16S ribosomal RNA". It matches the Rfam family "Bacterial small subunit ribosomal RNA", at positions 329 to 804 of the family's 1533-position model. The record is from RNAcentral.